CAAAUACAGUACACUGCAGUACAAAAGAUGUGUACACUUCUGAAAUAACUUUCCUUGCAUUACAUCCUUGAGUAUUUCGUCGAUUGCAGUUUGAAAAUAGAAUCCUUUCUUUAAUACUUCCUUGUCCCUUUAUACAUUCUUAAAUAUUUUAAUUUCACAACCCGAAAAAUGAAAUAGAAAAAAAUGAUAAAACAUACAUUUAAGGGGAAAAAUAGGUUCCAAAAUUAAGACUCCCUGACUUUAAGCCAGUGAGGCCUCUUGAGUCUUGACCCAAUACUGGGACAUGACCUAGUAAGUAAGUAAGAAAGACUUUAAGCCAGGAACUUUAGUUUACCGUGAUGGUGUUCGACAAGGUCAUAUGAGCUAAGAAAUCUAUUGUCCUGUCUGUAUAGUCCUUGGUUAAACCCUUCUAGAACUGUCAUCAUUUAUAUAGUUAAAUGUUUUGUAGACAUAUAUGUAUAAAAAAUAUAUUAUUUAUGUAAUCAUUAUACAUUCAUGGAAUAAAUGUUUGUAAAUAUCGUU
Long non-coding RNA from Eurytemora carolleeae, 522 nucleotides. RefSeq lists it as uncharacterized. NCBI's taxonomy places the organism in Eukaryota, Metazoa, Arthropoda, Copepoda, Calanoida, Temoridae. The transcript has 2 exons. The record is from RefSeq and is a predicted model, not a curated record.